Molecule: ribosomal RNA, 254 nt
Filed under: uncultured bacterium
Lineage: Bacteria
Description: partial 16S ribosomal RNA
Rfam family: Bacterial small subunit ribosomal RNA
Source: RNAcentral
UACAGAGGGUGCGAGCGUUGUUCGGAAUUACUGGGCGUAAAGCGCGCGCAGGCGGCCCUUUAAGUCCGUCGGUCAAAUGCCGGGGCUCAACCCCGAGCGUGCCGAGGAUACUGGAGGGCUGGAGACACGUAGAGGCAAGCGGAAUUCCGGGUGUAGCGGUGGAAUGCGUAGAGAUCCGGAAGAACACCGGAGGCGAAGGCGGCUUGCUGGGCGUGAUCUGACGCUGAGGCGCGAAAGCGUGGGGAGCGAACAGG